UACGUAGGGUCCGAGCGUUGUCCGGAAUUAUUGGGCGUAAAGAGCUCGUAGGCGGUUUGUCGCGUCUGCUGUGAAAUCCCGAGGCUCAACCUCGGGCCUGCAGUGGAUACGGGCAGACUGGAGUGCGGUAGGGGAGAAUGGAAUUCCCGGUGUAGCGGUGGAAUGCGCAGAUAUCAGGAGGAACACCGAUGGCGAAGGCAGUUCUCUGGGCCGUAACUGACGCUGAGGAGCGAAAGCGUGGGGAGCGAACAGG
RNAcentral lists this ribosomal RNA (253 nucleotides) under uncultured bacterium. RNAcentral's name for it is "partial 16S ribosomal RNA". It matches the Rfam family "Bacterial small subunit ribosomal RNA", at positions 524 to 776 of the family's 1533-position model. The record is from RNAcentral.